CAGAGGGGUGGGGGUGGAUGCACAAUGCAGCUGUGCAAUGCACAUGACCCAGUACAAUGAUCGGAAGCCAUAUGGGGGGGGUUCAUCCGAGGGUCACCAAUGUAGAAAAUAUGUUCCUCACUAACUUAGCACACUUAGCCCUGUAGUACACUAGUACAUCUGAGCAUUAGUGGAAAAAAAGGCAAACAGGACACAGAUAGUACCUUUGACUUUUUAGUUUAUUUAUUGGGGCAGGACACAAGUACAUAAAAAUUAACAGGGGACAUUAACACAGUAAAAUUACUUAGCAAUAAAGAUGGACACAGUUCCUAUAGCAGACAGUAGCCCAACAAAACUGAAGGUUUCAGGGACUGGCAAGUAAUGAAUCAUAAAAGUUGAAAGUUAUAGACAGCUAUUCCAUACCUAGCAAAUACAAGAAAAGAAAGUUUGUGGACAUGCACAUGGUAGACUAUGGCAGUCAGGCACUUUACAGCACACUGACCACUGUGAUACAAUCAUCACUGAGAAUUCUGUGGUGCAGAAGCAGCCUACUGAUCCUGUGAAGCUGGGGGUAGCAUGAAAAACAUCAAUGUCGAAUUGAUCUGUUUGUUCAAAAUUCUCAGGCUUUGUAAAUGCCCACAAUCAGCCAAUGUGUACAAUACAGACAUACCAGUGUUAGCUUCUCUGCAAGUGUAUAUGUCCAGAAUAUUGUCACUGCACAUCAUGGCAAGUCGCAUCUUCAAAGUCACACAGCACAAAAGACAUUCACUGUAAAACACUACCUUGCUCGGACAAGCAUGUCAAUCAUUUGAUGUCAGCAUGGGAAGUACGAUUCAGGGAGCUCUUUCUGUCUCAUACUUCUCUCCAGGAAAACUCCCCUGGGCUGCAACAAGGCAGAGCAUGGCAGAGAGAAGUUCCACUACUUCAGUCCGCUUUGCUCACGGCCUAUCUGCAUCAUCUGCUGUUGUCAUCUGCUAAACCAGAUGAGUGGUGAGUGUGCCUGCACUGUAGCACAUCAGCAUAAAAUCAUACAAUGUGAUAGUCAGGAAAGUUAGCUAGACGCAAAACUUCACUGAUCCAUACCGAGAGAACAAAAAGAUUCAGAUUCUUUGUAGGCACUGUAAGACUGUAUUUCAUCUUUUGGCUGGGAUGAACGUGAAUUUCAUUUAUACAUAUGAACACUUAAAACAUACCUUCACUCAAGAAUAUCAGGCUCAUAAAACCAAGUGAAGUUUUGUUGGUGAUGCAGAAAUGGAAAUAUUUAUCUAACUGCAAAUUCAACUAGAUUUUAGGAUGUUCGCAAGUAUUCCCAACGUGUAUACAGGCCUGCACUUAGGGUCUCUUAUUGAUUGGAAUAGUACAUCUAUUUCAUAAUUUUCACACCACAUUUGGUAGCAGUUUCCCAGAGCCUUAUUGCGGCUUUGUGUAGUUGAAGUGUGGACUCAUUUGCCAGUAACAGGUUCAUAUAUAUGUAAGGAUAAUAUGAUUUUGCUUUAUAAUCUUACAGAGAACAAUGAGUAGAUAAAACAGUGCAUCAAAGGACUGUGUCACAAGUGUGGAAAAUUACAUUAUAUGAAAUAAACAGGUAAACUGCAUCAUUUCAAUUAUUUCAACAUGAAGUGUCACAUUUUAUGUACUAGCUGCAUCCUGAAUUGCAUGUUCCUGCUGGUGGAUUAGUUUUAUACUAUCAUUUGACUUUAUGAGCCCAAUGUUACUGAGUACAGCAAUAUACUACAUUGACAGGAAAUGAAAUUAAUUUCCAUUUCAGCUGAAAGUUAAAAUACAUUCUUAUAGUGCCUACAGAGAAUUUUAAUCUUUCUUUAAUGUUUUUGAUGUGGAUUUGUGAAGUUGAUCACUAGUGAACCUUUGUAUCACAUUAUAUGCACUCAAUCAGCACAAGUACUUGCAGACUGUUUAUGCAGUAACUCUUACUUUAAACCCACAAUUUCAUUUUUGUGGUUGGUAGUCACCCAUAACACAGUCACAGUGCAAAAUUCAGGCGAGUUGUAACUGGUGAUAUGUCAGGAUAAUAUUUUAUUGUGAAAGUCAGUGGAGUGAGUUAGGUCAAGCUACUGGAAAUGGAUUACUUGGUGGUAUCAUAUAUUUUAUCAAAAGCUGUGAUUGGUAUUGUGAAAAGCUGUAAUGUACUUAUAACUAUUGAGUUAAUACAUUGUCUCUUACACAUAAUCAUUGCCAGUCAUGUAGUUUACAGCAUAAUUGUGCAGUAAUGCAGAUGUGUAAUAACAGGGUUUUUUUUCUUGUUUGCAGUGGAGUUAUUGUUUCAGUUGACCAGUUAUAUAAGUGGUGGAUUGUGCUGUUUCCAUUGUACUACAGAAGACAUGGAAGUAUAUAUAUUCAACAGUGCAGACAUUAAAUGGGGCAGCUGAGUACACACUGAACGAGAUUAAGAUGCUGUUCUCAGUAUUCUCAACAGUCCAGCUAUGGACAUUAUUACUGAUAAUGAUCCAUGUGGUCUGUCGCACACUCUAAGUGAUAAAGGGUGGAAUUGUUUGUGAUGCAGAAAUAAAAAUAUUUAACUAGUUACAACUUCAAACAGAUUUUAAGGUGUUUGCAAGUAUUUCCAACAUUCACAUAACGCUGAACUUAGGAUCUCUUAUUAGUUAGAACAGGACAUCCAUUUCAUAAUUUUCACAUCAUAUGUGUUAACUAGGAAUUUUCCAUAGCUUCUGUUGUAGUUUUGUAUAAUUGCAAUGUUUACUCAUUUGUCAGUGAGACAUGUCAUAUAUAUCUACAGAUAAUAUGGUUUUGCUUUAUAGUUGUACAGAGAACAAUGUAUAACUGAUAAGAACAUUUAACAAAUUAUCAAAACAGGGCCUCAAAGGAAUGUCUCACAAGUAUGGAAAAUGACACUGAAUAAAAGAAUCAGGUUAACUGCACCAUUUCAAUUAUUUUGACAAGUCUUAUACCAGAUAUGUUCUGAGUUGCAUGUUCUUGCUGAUAGAUCAGUAUUAUACCAUAAUUUGACUUUAUGAGCCCAAUGUUACUGAGUGCAGCAAUGUUUGAGGUGUUCAUGUAUGUACAUUACAUUUGCAAGGAAUGAAAUUUUAAAAAAAAUCCUACUUUUUGUUACCAAUUGAAAUGUUACAAACAGCUGCUUUAUUAGCUGGCAUUGCAAAAAGAAAAAAACUAAAAUACAACUAAAUACAGUUCUGGGGUAGAGUCGCCAACAAACUCCCAGGCACUGGAACUAAUACAGGAAAAACUAGCACUUGAAGAACUGUUGCCUACUACAAAGCCUAACUCCUAACCCAGUCUUCCCCAAUGGCACUUUGACAUGAGCUUAAGUGUUGGACUGUAACCAGUUGGCAUGUGACAUGGCCAGCUUUCAUUGGCAGGAACUAUCUGCAGUGGUUCCUGGUUUGGCUUAAAUAGUCACCCUUCAAAAAGGGAUGUGCUGCUCCUUGUGUCUCAUGACCAGAUGGAAGUGUGAUUUUUUGGUGCAGCCAGUGACCUCAUGCUGUUGCCAGGCUCCUGGCUAUAUGUGUACAAGAGGACACACACCACAUAUAUAAUUAAGGGGAGGAUGGCCAAUGAUCACUUCAGUGCAGAUGCGCAUAACACUCGAACUCAUAAGGGAAUCAGUAAACUCCCACAAGUAACGAGAAUAACAGGUAAUGAUAUCAUUUUCAAUACAUUUUGGUAUUGUGGUACUAUGUGCAUGUCAGGUCCUUUGUCCAAAGUAAUUUUUCCUAUACAAGUCAAUUAUUUGAGGUUCAAGCUGCUGAAGCAAUCUCAGAAUAUUACCCUCACUGCUCAAUGUGCAUAUUAAGGAAAGCUGCCAUUAAAACUCGCAAAACUAAAAGACAUGAUGACAUUGGCAGAGUAGUACAUACCACAUAAUGACAAGCAGUAUUAUAAAGCACUGAAGUGUACAUUACGUGAGGGAAGUGCAGACUGUACUGACUAUCUUACAGAAAAGAAAGAUAACACUUCAAUAUUGAACAUUCAUCAUGCAAUGGUGGUUUUGUUGUCCUGCAGUUGUGGGCUCCAGCAGAGGAGUCUUCCAAAAUGGAGUCUGAUAUGGACAUGCAUAUAAAACAGCUAUGUAUGAUUGAAUUCCUCACUGCCGAAGAAAUCACACCAACUGAAAUCCACUGACACUUGCUAAAGGUGUAUGGAGACAAUGCAAUAGACGUGAACACUGUGAGGCGAUGGGUUGCAGCUUUUUCGAGGUAGUGGAAAUGGUUUGCAUGGCAAGCCAAGGCCUGGUCGACCCUGUACAGCUAUCAUCCCUUGCAAUGAAGAACAUCAUGAUUAACUCAUCCAUGCCGAUUGGCAGCUAAUGACCAGAGAAUUGUGUAGAAAGCUGAAUGUCGGCUGUAAUGCCUUGGAAACAGUGCUGGAACAUCUUGGUUAUUGCAAGAUCUGUGAACAUACGUCCUGCUGGAUCAAUACGAAGCUCGAGGUGACAGUUUUCUGAAUAGCGUCGACACCAGAGAUGAGACAUGGCAUCACCACUUCAAGCCAGAAUCGAAAUGACAGUCCCUUGAAUGGCGACAUGUGAAUUCUCCAUCAAAGAAGAAAUUCGAGUCACAGCCAUCCGCAGGCAAAGUGAUGUUCACAGUCUUCUGUAAUAGCCAGGAUGUGGUUCUUUUGGAUGUCCUGGAUCCUGGAGAAACUUUCAAUUCAGCAUGCUACAGGAUGACACUGACUAAGCUGAAAGCCUGAAUUUCCAGGGUGAGGUCAGAGAAGAAGACCGCUUUCAACUGCAACAUCAUAACAUCAGACCCCACACCAGUUUUGCAACCACACAACUCACUGCAAAAUUGGCUGGACUGUCUUACCACCUGUACCAUACAGUCUGGAUUUAGCACCUUCAGACUUCCAUUUCUUUGGGCCUCUAAAAGAUGGACUACAUGGUGAACAUUUUCAAGACUCAGAUGCUGUUGUCAAAGCUGUAAGGAAGUGGUAAGCCUCAGCUGGUUCUAAUUUUUAGAAGUGUGGCAUGGUGGCAUGGUGGUGUCUAUGUGGAAAAAUGACAGUUACUUGGGGAAUAACCCCUUGCAAGUGUUCUAAUGUGCUGAGGCCAAAGUACCUCAAAUGCAAGGAAAUACAUAUGUAACAGGUCAGACAUCAACUGAUAACACAUGGAACCAGAUUUAGACGUUGUUCUCAGUAUUGCCAACAGUCUGGCAACAUUGCAUUGGUGUUUGUGAAUUGUGAUUUUUAGGUUUUCAACACAUUGUAUGUUAUGUUAUCGAUUAUGAAAUGUUUGCUGUGUUAUAUAUGUUUCAUAAGAGAUCUUGUAUGCUUUGUGCUCAGCAGGAACAGUCAUGAGUGCUCCAAGUAUAGUGUAAAAUUAUAUCCAUUGAGCUACUGUAGAAAAAGGUUACAUACACAGAAACGAGAAUCUGAGUAAAAAAUAGGUUAUUUUGAGAUGCACACAUAUAGUAAAAGUGAAACACUGUGGUAUAUAAUUGACCUCAUUAAUGCAAAUAGACAAGAGACUAUCCUGUGGGUUUGCAAAAUUACUAGAAUUUAUGUAAUUCCAGAUUGACUUUGCAAUCACAGCUUGACUAUCUUUUAUUCUAAUAUUUUUGGAUGCUAGAUUCUUCACCCUAUAAAGAAAAUGCUAUUGUUGCAGAGUUCAGUGAGAGCACAAAGAAUGUGAUCCACUAAUUAAGUAGUUAUUAUAUAUGUCAUUUUUGGUCCUGCAAACAUGACCAAGAGGACACAUGCCACUUUUAUAAUUAAGACAAGGUCAGCCAAUGAUCACUUCAGUGCAGAUGCAUGCUGCACUUGAAAUCUUAAGGGAAUUGGUGAACUCCCACAAGUAAUGAGGAUAACAAGCAAGGGGCACUGCAUCGGUAGUGUGUGUUUAAGUUAACAAUUUACAUCUGACGCAGAUAUGCUAGGGCAGUCCGUGCAGUUACAAUGACCACUGUGUCUGGAUGGUGCAGUGGUCAGCACAUCUGCUUAGUAAGCAGGAGACCUGGGUUUGAAUCCCAAUCCAGCAGAAAUUUUCAACUUUCCACAUUGAUUUAAAUCAGCGACCACUGACAGCUAAUGUUAUCAAUUCCUUUGUGUCUUAAGUGUGAUACAUGGCUAUUUUUUGAGAAUUAUCUAUCAGAAAAGAAUGGUUUGAGAGCCAAUAUGUUUAUCAUUACUAUCUAGUCUUUGAAGAUAUAAUAUUUUGGGGUAUAUGUUCAUUUUAAUAUAAGGUGCAAUUUGAGAGUCAUUCAUAUAGUGUCCUUGUAGUGUAAGGUUCUUCUUUUGCACAGUAAUUAGUGCUUUUCUGUUGUGAGAGUAAUUUAUAAUGUUUAUAAGUUUGUCAGUGAGGAGAGCUGCUUACAGGAAUUUACUGAACCCUUUGUCAUGUAUGUUUUGCUAAUGGCACAUUUAUUUCUGUUUAAGGUAAUGAUACCAUUUGCAAUACAUUUCAGUGUUGUCAUACUAUAUGCAUGUCAGAUCCUUUGUUAAAAGUAACUUUUCCCAUAUGAGUAAAUUAUUUGAGGUAGGUAUCUUGUGUGAGUCAUUUGAUGUUAGCAGUUCCUGUAACAUGUAAAGUGAAAUACAUU
This is an RNA transcript of Schistocerca serialis cubense, 6518 nucleotides long. RefSeq lists it as uncharacterized. The transcript is spliced from 5 exons. NCBI's taxonomy places the organism in Eukaryota, Metazoa, Arthropoda, Insecta, Orthoptera, Acrididae. The record is from RefSeq and is a predicted model, not a curated record.